GGGCGCGCUGAGGCGGGACUCCACAGGAAUGGCCGGAACUCGCAAACAGCCCCGGGAGCCUCGUAGGGCGUAGCCGGGGCUCGCUGGAGCCUUUCCGGUGUGCGGGAGCCAGCCGAGCCGCAGGAGGGACGGAGCGGGGCCGGGCGGAGGCACAGCCCCGCAGCCACAGCCCCACAGCCGGCCGGGCUCAGAGGUGGAUAACGAGAGGGGCGAGGGGCCAGGCAGAGCCGAGCGGUGUCCUGGCCCGAGAGAUGUAUGUGCUAAUUAGCAGGGCAGUUAAUAGAGCAGACAGGGAGCUGUGCUUGCUGCUCCCCGGAGAACUCGGGAGAAGGAGCCCCCAGGGCUGCAGUGUCAGGAUCAGAGGCAGGAACAAAAAAGAAUCCACAGGAAGUCAAGCGAGGAGGAAUUCCUUCUUUCCAGGAACAAAUAAAGGAAGAUAUCAGGUCUGUUAUUCAGAGAAGAAAGACUAAUCCAGACUAAGCAGGAAAAGCUGUUGAGGGUAAAAGAGUUCAUUUGAUUUUUGUUGAGUGUGGGUGGUUCUGGGGCAGAGCAGGUGCACCUGGAGACAAUAAAUGCAGAUUUAGCUCAAGGCCUCUAAGUGACUCUGAGCCUCAUCAGCUGCUUGUGCUGUGGGUUUAAAAGGACAAAAGUGGCUUUUACUGGGAUUUAUCCAUGGGGAUCUCAGCAGUUACCAGAAAGGACCUAAAACUGGGAGUCCUGCUGCUUCUCUCUGGGAAGGUGGCAGAUACCAAUCAAAAUCUUCAUGGAAAAAGAAGAAUUAAUCAUGGGGCAAGGACGAUGAUUGCAUUGUAAAGAAUUUUCCAAGCCCCCCUUCCAGACUCUGCCUCUUUAGCUCCCAGUGGAGGUGCAACCCAUGCAGCUGAAGUUUCCUGCCCUGGGUGGAUCAGCUGUUUUGGCAGCAGCUGCAGAAAUUCAACCCCAAGAGUCUGUGGUGUGGGUUGUACAGCCCAGCCACCUCAGUGAGAUCUGUAGUGUGGGGUUAAACUGGGGAAAAACCCCACAACACCCCUUGCAUGCUGUUUGGCUGAGGGGUGUGUGCUUUUCUGUGUUUUUUUCAUAGAAAUAUUUAAGGGUUUUCCCUUUAUUUGGGAGGUUCCUUUAACAAGUCUUGUCAAUUAAUCAAUCAAUCCUGUAAAUUAUAUAUAUUAAGUAUAGAGGUAUAAGAAUAAAUGUUUAUUCAGCUUUUGGGAUUUUUAAAUCAAUUAAUUGCAUGUCUGGAAGCAAAACCCAAAUGCUUAUUUGGUUUGG
Vidua chalybeata is the source of this 1269-nucleotide long non-coding RNA. RefSeq lists it as uncharacterized. The record is from RefSeq and is a predicted model, not a curated record. The transcript has 4 exons. NCBI's taxonomy places the organism in Eukaryota, Metazoa, Chordata, Aves, Passeriformes, Viduidae.